RNAcentral lists this ribosomal RNA (1352 nucleotides) under uncultured bacterium. RNAcentral's name for it is "bacterial SSU rRNA". It matches the Rfam family "Bacterial small subunit ribosomal RNA", at positions 28 to 1381 of the family's 1533-position model. The record is from RNAcentral.
AUUGAACGCUGGCGGCAUGCCUUACACAUGCAAGUCGAACGGCAGCACGGAGCUUGCUCUGGUGGCGAGUGGCGAACGGGUGAGUAAUAUAUCGGAACGUACCCUGGAGUGGGGGAUAACGUAGCGAAAGUUACGCUAAUACCGCAUACGAUCUAAGGAUGAAAGUGGGGGAUCGCAAGACCUCAUGCUCGUGGAGCGGCCGAUAUCUGAUUAGCUAGUUGGUAGGGUAAAAGCCUACCAAGGCAUCGAUCAGUAGCUGGUCUGAGAGGACGACCAGCCACACUGGAACUGAGACACGGUCCAGACUCCUACGGGAGGCAGCAGUGGGGAAUUUUGGACAAUGGGCGCAAGCCUGACCCAGCAAUGCCGCGUGAGUGAAGAAGGCCUUCGGGUUGUAAAGCUCUUUUGUCAGGGAAGAAACGGUGGGAGCUAAUAUCUCCUGCUAAUGACGGUACCUGAAGAAUAAGCACCGGCUAACUACGUGCCAGCAGCCGCGGUAAUACGUAGGGUGCAAGCGUUAAUCGGAAUUACUGGGCGUAAAGCGUGCGCAGGCGGUUUUGUAAGUCUGAUGUGAAAUCCCCGGGCUCAACCUGGGAAUUGCAUUGGAGACUGCAAGGCUAGAAUCUGGCAGAGGGGGGUAGAAUUCCACGUGUAGCAGUGAAAUGCGUAGAUAUGUGGAGGAACACCGAUGGCGAAGGCAGCCCCCUGGGUCAAGAUUGACGCUCAUGCACGAAAGCGUGGGGAGCAAACAGGAUUAGAUACCCUGGUAGUCCACGCCCUAAACGAUGUCUACUAGUUGUCGGGUCUUAAUUGACUUGGUAACGCAGCUAACGCGUGAAGUAGACCGCCUGGGGAGUACGGUCGCAAGAUUAAAACUCAAAGGAAUUGACGGGGACCCGCACAAGCGGUGGAUGAUGUGGAUUAAUUCGAUGCAACGCGAAAAACCUUACCUACCCUUGACAUGGCUGGAAUCCUCGAGAGAUUGGGGAGUGCUCGAAAGAGAACCAGUACACAGGUGCUGCAUGGCUGUCGUCAGCUCGUGUCGUGAGAUGUUGGGUUAAGUCCCGCAACGAGCGCAACCCUUGUCAUUAGUUGCUACGAAAGGGCACUCUAAUGAGACUGCCGGUGACAAACCGGAGGAAGGUGGGGAUGACGUCAAGUCCUCAUGGCCCUUAUGGGUAGGGCUUCACACGUCAUACAAUGGUACAUACAGAGCGCCGCCAACCCGCGAGGGGGAGCUAAUCGCAGAAAGUGUAUCGUAGUCCGGAUUGUAGUCUGCAACUCGACUGCAUGAAGUUGGAAUCGCUAGUAAUCGCGGAUCAGCAUGUCGCGGUGAAUACGUUCCCGGGUCU